This 856-nucleotide ribosomal RNA is filed under the name Klebsiella pneumoniae. RNAcentral describes it as "bacterial SSU rRNA". It matches the Rfam family "Bacterial small subunit ribosomal RNA", at positions 35 to 882 of the family's 1533-position model. The record is from RNAcentral. Lineage: Bacteria; Pseudomonadati; Pseudomonadota; Gammaproteobacteria; Enterobacterales; Enterobacteriaceae.
GCUGGCGGCAGGCCUAACACAUGCAAGUCGAGCGGUAGCACAGAGAGCUUGCUCUCGGGUGACGAGCGGCGGACGGGUGAGUAAUGUCUGGGAAACUGCCUGAUGGAGGGGGAUAACUACUGGAAACGGUAGCUAAUACCGCAUAACGUCGCAAGACCAAAGUGGGGGACCUUCGGGCCUCAUGCCAUCAGAUGUGCCCAGAUGGGAUUAGCUAGUAGGUGGGGUAACGGCUCACCUAGGCGACGAUCCCUAGCUGGUCUGAGAGGAUGACCAGCCACACUGGAACUGAGACACGGUCCAGACUCCUACGGGAGGCAGCAGUGGGGAAUAUUGCACAAUGGGCGCAAGCCUGAUGCAGCCAUGCCGCGUGUGUGAAGAAGGCCUUCGGGUUGUAAAGCACUUUCAGCGGGGAGGAAGGCGGUAAGGUUAAUAACCUUGUCGAUUGACGUUACCCGCAGAAGAAGCACCGGCUAACUCCGUGCCAGCAGCCGCGGUAAUACGGAGGGUGCAAGCGUUAAUCGGAAUUACUGGGCGUAAAGCGCACGCAGGCGGUCUGUCAAGUCGGAUGUGAAAUCCCCGGGCUCAACCUGGGAACUGCAUUCGAAACUGGCAGGCUAGAGUCUUGUAGAGGGGGGUAGAAUUCCAGGUGUAGCGGUGAAAUGCGUAGAGAUCUGGAGGAAUACCGGUGGCGAAGGCGGCCCCCUGGACAAAGACUGACGCUCAGGUGCGAAAGCGUGGGGAGCAAACAGGAUUAGAUACCCUGGUAGUCCACGCCGUAAACGAUGUCGAUUUGGAGGUUGUGCCCUUGAGGCGUGGCUUCCGGAGCUAACGCGUUAAAUCGACCGCCUGGGGAGUA